RNAcentral lists this ribosomal RNA (373 nucleotides) under Enterobacter sp. HBR6. Its description in RNAcentral is "bacterial SSU rRNA". It matches the Rfam family "Bacterial small subunit ribosomal RNA", at positions 75 to 452 of the family's 1533-position model. The record is from RNAcentral. Lineage: Bacteria; Pseudomonadati; Pseudomonadota; Gammaproteobacteria; Enterobacterales; Enterobacteriaceae.
CUUGCUACUUUGCCCGCGAGCGGCGGACGGGUGAGUAAUGUCUGGGAAACUGCCUGAUGGAGGGGGAUAACUACUGGAAACGGUAGCUAAUACCGCAUAACGUCACAAGACCAAAGAGGGGGACCUUCGGGCCUCUUGCCAUCAUAUGUGCCCAGAUGGGAUUAUCUAGUAGGUGGGGUAACGGCUCACCUACGAGACUAUCCCUAGCUGGUCUGAGAGGAUGACCACCCACACUGGAAGUGAGACACGGUCCAGACUCCUACGGGAGGCAGCAGUGGGGAAUAUUGCACAGUGGGCGCAAGCCUGAUGCACCCAUGCCGCGUGUAUGAAGAAGGCCUUCGGGUUGUAAAGUACUUUCAGCGGGGAAGAAGGG